UACGGAGGGUGCAAGCGUUAUCCGGAUUCACUGGGUUUAAAGGGUGCGUAGGUGGGUUGGUAAGUCAGUGGUGAAAUCUCCAAGCUUAACUUGGAAACUGCCGUUGAUACUAUCAAUCUUGAAUCUCGUGGAGGUAAGCGGAAUAUGUCAUGUAGCGGUGAAAUGCUUAGAUAUGACAUAGAACACCGAUAGCGAAGGCAGCUUGCUACACGAGUAUUGACACUGAGGCACGAAAGCGUGGGGAUCAAACAGG
Molecule: ribosomal RNA, 253 nt
Filed under: uncultured bacterium
Lineage: Bacteria
Description: partial 16S ribosomal RNA
Rfam family: Bacterial small subunit ribosomal RNA
Source: RNAcentral